AGGACCGGGUCGUACGUACCGCUGGUGUAUCUGUUGUGCCGCCAGGUGCAAUGCAGAGUAGCUAUGUACGGAAAGGAUAAACGCUGAAAGCAUCUAAGCGUGAAACCUGCCUCAAGAUGAGUUUACUUUUAAGGGCCGUCAGAGACUAUGACGUUGAUAGGCUACAGGUGUAAAGGUGGUAACAUCAAAGCCGAGUAGUACUAAUUGCCCGUACGCUUUAAUUUUUUU
RNAcentral lists this ribosomal RNA (228 nucleotides) under Sphingobacteriales bacterium 48-107. RNAcentral's name for it is "partial 23S ribosomal RNA". It matches the Rfam family "Bacterial large subunit ribosomal RNA", at positions 2688 to 2925 of the family's 2925-position model. The record is from RNAcentral. Lineage: Bacteria; Pseudomonadati; Bacteroidota; Sphingobacteriia; Sphingobacteriales.